This 253-nucleotide ribosomal RNA is filed under the name uncultured bacterium. Its description in RNAcentral is "partial 16S ribosomal RNA". It matches the Rfam family "Bacterial small subunit ribosomal RNA", at positions 524 to 776 of the family's 1533-position model. The record is from RNAcentral.
UACGUAGGGCGCAAGCGUUGUCCGGAAUUAUUGGGCGUAAAGAGCUCGUAGGCGGUCUGUCGCGUCGGCUGUGAAAACCCGGGGCUCAACCCCGGGCCUGCAGUCGAUACGGGCAGACUAGAGUGUGGUAGGGGAGACUGGAAUUCCUGGUGUAGCGGUGGAAUGCGCAGAUAUCAGGAAGAACACCGGUGGCGAAGGCGGCUCUCUGGGCCUUACCUGACGCUGAGGAGCGAAAGCGUGGGUAGCGAACAGG